Molecule: ribosomal RNA, 253 nt
Filed under: uncultured bacterium
Lineage: Bacteria
Description: partial 16S ribosomal RNA
Rfam family: Bacterial small subunit ribosomal RNA
Source: RNAcentral
CACGUAUGGCGCAAGCGUUGUCCGGAAUUAUUGGGCGUAAAGAGCUCGUAGGCGGUCUGUUGCGUCCGCUGUGAAAACUCGGGGCUUAACCCCGAGCCUGCAGUGGAUACGGGCAGACUAGAGGUAGGUAGGGGAGAAUGGAAUUCCCGGUGUAGCGGUGAAAUGCGCAGAUAUCGGGAGGAACACCGGUGGCGAAGGCGGUUCUCUGGGCCUUACCUGACGCUGAGGAGCGAAAGCGUGGGGAGCGAACAGG